ACGCUGGCAGUGCGUCUUAAGCAUGCAAGUCAAACGGGAUGUAGCAAUACAUCUAGUGGCGAACGGGUGAGUAACGCGUGGAUGAUCUACCUACGAGAUGGGGAUAACUAUUAGAAAUAGUAGCUAAUACCGAAUAAAGUCAAUUAAUUUGUUAAUUGAUGAAAGGAAGCCUUUAAAGCUUCGCUUGUAGAUGAGUCUGCGUCUUAUUAGCUAGUUGGUAGGGUAAAUGCCUACCAAGGCGAUGAUAAGUAACCGGCCUGAGAGGGUGAACGGUCACACUGGAACUGAGAUACGGUCCAGACUCCUACGGGAGGCAGCAGCUAAGAAUCUUCCGCAAUGGGCGAAAGCCUGACGGAGCGACACUGCGUGAAUGAAGAAGGUCGAAAGAUUGUAAAAUUCUUUUAUAAAUGAGGAAUAAGCUUUGUAGGAAAUGACAAAGUGAUGACGUUAAUUUAUGAAUAAGCCC
Molecule: ribosomal RNA, 466 nt
Filed under: Borreliella garinii
Lineage: Bacteria; Pseudomonadati; Spirochaetota; Spirochaetia; Spirochaetales; Borreliaceae
Description: bacterial SSU rRNA
Rfam family: Bacterial small subunit ribosomal RNA
Source: RNAcentral